Molecule: long non-coding RNA, 93 nt
Organism: Myotis davidii
Lineage: Eukaryota; Metazoa; Chordata; Mammalia; Chiroptera; Vespertilionidae
Exons: 5
Source: RefSeq, a predicted model, not a curated record
GGGCUCGGCCGUCUCACUCCGGCUCCUGCGUCUGCUGAUUUCCUCUCCUCUCUUCCAUCCUGCUCCUUGGCGGGCAGCAUCCGGAAGGACUCA